AUAACUUAGUGCAUGCGGGGUGAGUAAUGUAUAGGAAUCUACCUAGUAGUACGGAAUAAUUGUUGGAAACGACAACUAAUACCGUAUACGCCCUACGGGGGAAAAAUUUAUUGCUAUUAGAUGAGCCUAUAUUAGAUUAGCUAGUUGGUGGGGUAAUAGCCUACCAAGGUAAUGAUCUAUAGCUGAUCUGAGAGGAUGAUCAGCCACACUGGAACUGAGAUACGGUCCAGACUCCUACGGGAGGCAGCAGUGGGGAAUAUUGGACAAUGGGCGAAAGCCUGAUCCAGCCAUGCCGCAUGAGUGAAGAAGGCCUUUGGGUUGUAAAGCUCUUUUAGUGAGGAAGAUAAUGACGGUACUCACAGAAGAAGUCCUGGCUAACUCCGUGCCAGCAGCCGCGGUAAUACGGAGAGGGCUAGCGUUAUUCGGAAUUAUUGGGCGUAAAGGGCGCGUAGGCUGGUUAAUAAGUUAAAAGUGAAAUCCCGAGGCUUAACCUUGGAAUUGCUUUUAAAACUAUUAAUCUAGAGAUUGAAAGAGGAUAGAGGAAUUCCUGAUGUAGAGGUAAAAUUCGUAAAUAUUAGGAGGAACACCAGUGGCGAAGGCGUCUAUCUGGUUCAAAUCUGACGCUGAAGCGCGAAGGCGUGGGGAGCAAACAGGAUUAGAUACCCUGGUAGUCCACGCUGUAAACGAUGAAUGUUAAAUAUGGGGAGUUUACUUUCUGUAUUACAGCUAACGCGUUAAACAUUCCGCCUGGGGACUACGGUCGCAAGAUUAAAACUCAAAGGAAUUGACGGGGACCCGCACAAGCGGUGGAGCAUGUGGUUAAUUCGAUGCAACGCGAAAACCUUACCACUUCUGACAUG
This 860-nucleotide ribosomal RNA is filed under the name Wolbachia pipientis. Its description in RNAcentral is "bacterial SSU rRNA". It matches the Rfam family "Bacterial small subunit ribosomal RNA", at positions 87 to 988 of the family's 1533-position model. The record is from RNAcentral. Lineage: Bacteria; Pseudomonadati; Pseudomonadota; Alphaproteobacteria; Rickettsiales; Anaplasmataceae.